Molecule: ribosomal RNA, 472 nt
Filed under: uncultured bacterium
Lineage: Bacteria
Description: bacterial SSU rRNA
Rfam family: Bacterial small subunit ribosomal RNA
Source: RNAcentral
AGAGUUUGAUCCUGGCUCAGAGCGAACGCUGGCGGCAGGCCUAACACAUGCAAGUCGAGCGCCGUAGCAAUACGGAGCGGCAGACGGGAGAGUAACACGUGGGAACGUGCCUUUCAGUUCGGAACAACCCAGGGAAACUUGGGCUAAUACCGGAUACGCCCUUACGGGGAAAGAUUUAUCGCUGAAAGAGCGGCCCGCGUCCGAUUAGCUAGUUGGUGAGGUAAUGGCUCACCAAGGCGACGAUCGGUAGCUGGUCUGAGAGGAUGACCAGCCUCACUGGGACUGAGACACGGCCCAGACUCCUACGGGAGGCAGCAGUGGGGAAUAUUGGACAAUGGGCGCAAGCCUGAUCCAGCCAUGCCGCGUGGGUGAUGAAGGCCCUAGGGUUGUAAAGCCCUUUCAGCGGGGAAGAUAAUGACGGUACCCGCAGAAGAAGCCCCGGCUAACUUCGUGCCAGCCGCCGCGGUAAUAC